GCCCUCGUGGCAUAAUAGUUAAGCACUCAGCUGCUAACUGAAAGGUUGUUGGUUCAAACCGACCCAGUGGCU
This 72-nucleotide transfer RNA is filed under the name Loxodonta africana (African savanna elephant). It matches the Rfam family "tRNA". Rfam says of the family: Transfer RNA (tRNA) molecules are approximately 80 nucleotides in length. Lineage: Eukaryota; Metazoa; Chordata; Mammalia; Proboscidea; Elephantidae. The record is from Rfam by way of RNAcentral.